GUGCUCACUUUGGCAGCACAUAUACUAAAACUAGACCGAUACAGAGAAGAUUAGCACAGUCCCUGAGCAAGGAUGACACAUAAAUUCAUAAAGUUCCAUAUUUUA
Small nuclear RNA from Otolemur garnettii (small-eared galago), 105 nucleotides. The record is from Ensembl. Lineage: Eukaryota; Metazoa; Chordata; Mammalia; Primates; Galagidae.